CUAAGCUUGACAUCCUUUUGAUCGAUGCCUAAUCGCACCUUUCCCUUCGGGGACAGAAGUGACAGGUGGUGCAUGGUUGUCGUCAGCUCGUGUCGUGAGAUGUUGGGUUAAGUCCCGCAACGAGCGCAACCCUUGCCUUUAGUUGCCAGCAUUAAGUUGGGCACUCUAGAGGGACUGCCAGGGAUAACCUGGAGGAAGGUGGGGAUGACGUCAAAUCAUCAUGCCCCUUAUGCUUAGGGCUACACACGUGCUACAAUGGGUGGUACAGAGGGCAGCCAAGUCGUGAGGCGGAGCUAAUCCCUUAAAGCCAUUCUCAGUUCGGAUUGUAGGCUGAAACUCGCCUACAUGAAGCUGGAGUUACUAGUAAUCGCAGAUCAGAAUGCUGCGGUGAAUGCGUUCCC
Molecule: ribosomal RNA, 401 nt
Filed under: uncultured bacterium
Lineage: Bacteria
Description: bacterial SSU rRNA
Rfam family: Bacterial small subunit ribosomal RNA
Source: RNAcentral